AGUGAACGCUGGCGGUCGGCCUAACACAUGCAAGUCGAACGGCAGCACAGUAAGAGCUUGCUCUUACGGGUUGCGAGUUGCGGACGGUUGAGGAAUACAUCGGAAUCUACUUUUUCUUGGGGGAUAACGUAGGGAAACUUACGCUAAUACCGCAUACGACCUACGGGUGAAAGCAGGGGAUCUUCGGACCUUGCGCGAUUGAAUGAGCCGAUGUCGGAUUAGCUAGUUGGCGGGGUAAAGGCCCACCAAGGCGACGAUCCGUAGCUGGUCUGAGAGGAUGAUCAGCCACACUGGAACUGAGACACGGUCCAGACUCCUACGGGAGGCAGCAGUGGGGAAUAUUGGACAAUGGGCGCAAGCCUGAUCCAGCCAUACCGCGUGGGUGAAGAAGGCCUUCGGGUUGUAAAGCCCUUUUGUUGGGAAAGAAAAGCAGCAGGUUAAUACCCCGCUGUUCUGACGGUACCCAAAGAAUAAGCACCGGCUAACUUCGUG
Molecule: ribosomal RNA, 492 nt
Filed under: uncultured bacterium
Lineage: Bacteria
Description: partial 16S ribosomal RNA
Rfam family: Bacterial small subunit ribosomal RNA
Source: RNAcentral